AGAGUCUGGCCCGGCCCACAGCCCUGCAGAAGGUGCCCAUUUAAAGAGGACACCUAGUGGUCUCAGAACCACCCACCAUCCCUCCUCAGGCUUCCACGUGCCUCCCUAGGUCUGUGGGCUGGACGACAGAUAAACAGCCCUAAGAUGAUGCCCUUGCGUUGGGGCUGGGGAAAAAAAGGGCAGGUUCAAAAGAGGAUCAUCUGGAAACUGGGGACCUGUGUGUGUGACUGUCUCCUAUGAGAAUACUCCGCCACAGACGUCUAUACAGGUGAGCAAGAAGAAGGUUUCUCCAGUUCUAGGUUCGGGAGCACCCAAAGUCCAAGUGUGUCCGCACCUGUGGGGGAAUCUAGCCCACAGCAUGACCCUGAACACCACCUGGGGACAGCAGGGUCACGAAAAGGACAAAGCAAACCUUCAAAGGUGGCUUCCUUUCCAGAGAGGGACUAUUUCACUCACAGAGACAGGAAGACUGCUUCUUGGGCAUGUCUUUUACUUACUCCUGUUCUCAGCUUGGCAUCUUCCCAGACACACAGAAUCCCUUCCUAUGACGGCAGUGUGGUUGUCCUUUUGCUUUGGUUCCCAGCUACUGAGGAGGAUUUAAAACUAUGUAAGUUCCUCUAGGCUGGAGUUGGGGGUGAGGGGGGGGGGGGGGCUUCUCCAGUGGUGUUACCUCCCUCAAAUGUUCAGAGACACAAAAAUGGAAGGUUAGGGGCGCAGAACACAUUGCUUUUCCUUCAGCUAACUAGGGAAGACACUCCAAUAGUGUAAAUAGGAAAAAUAAAAAUGAAAGAGGGAAGCUGGAACUAAUUGGGCUGGGGAACAAACACGAGCUCAGGGGGAAAUGGCCACAGGCACCAGAAAUUGUAUGAUCGUGGGAUGGGGAGAGGUAUGGAGAGGAAGCAGGGAGUAGGGACCAGGAACUGUUGAUUCCCUAGAAAUCUUCCCAGCACCUGUGGCAAGUGUGAGGCAGAAACAGGGCAGAAGGGAGAGAGAGGGAAAGAGCUCACUCCUGUGGCCCAUAGAAAUGACUUUUGAGUUAAUAUUCACUGUGACAUUUCAGAGCAAAGACAGUAUUGAAGUAAAACAAAGACCCCUGAGCAGCCAGUCACCACCCAGGAAGAAAAAUGGGGCAAUAUGUUCCCAGGCCUGAUAGAACCUUAGGCAGGUGGGUACCUCACUGCAUGCCCCCCCCCCACACACACACCACCCCGAGGUAAUGGCUUCUCUGCAGGAAGGAGAGGGAAGGUUUCUUCUAGGGUCAGGUAAGACCCUCUUCUUCAAAAGGCACCUUUGGAGGUUGGGGAGUGGGGAACUCCUAAGUCCUCUGUCAGCAAUGGGGAAGACAGGCAGAUCCCAGUGGGCUCCUCUUCGAAGGAAAACAGCUAUUUCUGUCCUACCUGUUCUCUCCCAGUUUUCAGAAGCUCCCCGCUUCCCACAAUUGAAUUUUGUUAGAACCAGGAGCUGAAAUCAUUAAUGUGCUACUUAUCUUUCACCAUCAGGAUCGUCAUCAAUCCUGAGGUAGCUUUUGCCUUUUAUUUCUUAAUCUGCUUGUAUUUUAUCUCACAUUUUUGUGCCGGGAGCCAUAGGGAGAAAAUUCCAGGCCCUGCUAUGUCAGUCUGAAGUUCAGCUUUCUUGGAAAGAGAGGCAUCAGCCCGAGAUACGCUGGGGCCUUUACCCUUCCAGGAAUGAGCCAGGCACCUCCUCACGCAGGGCUAGGUGCUGGGGGUCACUGUGCAUGGCCCGUUUUCACCUCCCAUCCACAUUCCAAUUUUCAUUCUGUGUAAAGACUUUGGGCCUGAUGCGGGGGCACAAAAGUGAUUCAUCUUUCUCCUAGCUCUGCCUUUAUAACAAAAAUUAAAGGCCUCCCAUGACCACAUUCGCUCAUGCUCAGCCCAGGAGAGCUCUUACGUCAGCUAGUGAGCGGAGCCUUAUCUGCACCCAGAAAACCAGCAGCUCCCGGGCCCUCCUGCGUUCUUUCCAGGUCUCCAGCCUCCCCUCGCCCACAGCACCCAGACCUAACAGCAGUUUCCACAACAGAGCAAGGUCCUAUCUCCAUAACACCAGACAAUGCCAGUUGUGUCAGACAAACCACCGGCUGAGAAGGAAGGAAGGGAAGCAACAAGAAAAUCAUGUGCCACUUGCUGGCUGAGGUUACUUACCAGGGCUGCCCUCGAACACAGGGAGACAUGGCCCAAGCAAAAAGAGAAGACCACCAGAGGUGAACAGAAAACCUUUUUACAUCUCUUUUACCAUAUUCUUGUUAAGGAAGCUCUAUACCCAACAAGGAGUUUGAACCCCAAGAUUAAGAGUCAUGUGCUCUACGAACUGACCCAGCCAGGCACCCCUCACAGAAAACUUCUAAGCACAGGAAGGCCAAAUGUUGGCAGAUGAGGAAAUAAAAAGGAGAAACUCUUCCGUGGAAUGUUUCUGGACCAGUCCUCAGCUACCUUUCUUAAAAGCCAGUAAAACUGCUCCUUUAGACUCUUCCUGAGCCGUCAGCAUUUUGAAGAACACAAAUUAUCACUCCUGUAUGUGUGUGAGUCCACACUCUGCAUCCAGAGGCAUUUGGGAGCACCCUGUCGAUGGCUGACAAUGGUUACUCCUAGAGGUGGGAUUACAGGACUUUGGAUGGAGAUCAGUGAAUAAAGAGGCAC
Mustela lutreola (European mink) is the source of this 2654-nucleotide long non-coding RNA. RefSeq lists it as uncharacterized. The record is from RefSeq and is a predicted model, not a curated record. The transcript is spliced from 3 exons. Lineage: Eukaryota; Metazoa; Chordata; Mammalia; Carnivora; Mustelidae.